UACGUAGGGGGCAAGCGUUGUCCGGAAUCAUUGGGCGUAAAGAGCGCGUAGGCGGUCCGGUAAGUCUGCUGUGAAAGUCCAGGGCUCAACCCUGGGAUGCCGGUGGAUACUGUCGAGCUCGAGUCCGGAAGAGGCGAGUGGAAUUCCUGGUGUAGCGGUGAAAUGCGCAGAUAUCAGGAGGAACACCAAUGGCGAAGGCAGCUCGCUGGGACGUGACUGACGCUGAGACGCGAAAGCGUGGGGAGCAAACAGG
Molecule: ribosomal RNA, 253 nt
Filed under: uncultured bacterium
Lineage: Bacteria
Description: partial 16S ribosomal RNA
Rfam family: Bacterial small subunit ribosomal RNA
Source: RNAcentral